GAUCACUGACAAUUAUGAGAGGAAUUUAAUAAAAAAAAUCUUAUCAAAGAAAAUUGGUAAAUGUGAAGAAAGAUAGAAGAUUUGUGUGUUUGAGAUUGAAAGGCUUAUGAAUGGUGGGGUUUCAUUCUAGAUUCUUUGAGUGCCACCGUCGUUUUUAUAGUUUCAAUACCAGUCAACGCGUUCCCUCCAUCAAUUCAAUUCAACUCAACUCUCCUAGGAUUCAUGAUACUUCAGGGACACUUCUUUCCACUUCAAGGACAGAUGGAGGAGAAGAGGAUUGGUCUGCUGCUGCUGCAGCAUCCCACAGAAGCAAUCAAGCUUCGUGGCUGAUGAAUCCAAGAGAUGAGGAGGUUUUUGGUUGAUAGAGCAAGUAUAUUGAAAAUGUGAAUGUUGUGCAGCCGGAAUCCGAAAUAAAGCCGCUGCCUAAUGUUGCCCAGACUCCACGAAAGUCCUGGCUCCGCCACUGUCUAGAGAAGAUGCAGUAAGUACGAACUGAUUAUUCAGGAUACUUCAGUAAAACUUAUGAUAUCUAUUUUGUUCCUUCAAGAUUCUUGUAGCUACGGUCUCUUGGAAACCUUUAUCUGACAAUAGAAUCCUAAGAUUUUUUUUGUCAUAUAUGCCCAAUCCAUUUGGUGUUAGCACUAAUAUUAUUAACAUUUCAUAAAUGGGGAGCGAAAAUCUAUAUUCUCCUGCUUAGUUUUCUGUAAUCAUGUGAUAUUCUGAAUUCAGAGCUGGUUUUGUUGUCCAUGGGUUACUUACUAAUGUAACUAGAAACAACAUAGGGAGGCCCAUUUAUUUUCCUACUUGUGUCAAUCUCUUUUUUCAGCAUUAGUUUUUCCUAUCAUAUCUCCAAUCAUUGAGAAUCCUAGCAUUAUUUAAUUCAUUGAUUCUUUUGGGAUCUUUCUGACAUUUAAAAUUUUAAAGAAUACAUUGCAUUAACAGUUUCUAUGUUGUUUUGUUUAUAUGCAUAUAGGGCUAUUACCUCUUAACUUUCCUAAUUUUGGACUUAUGUAGCCACUAAUGCUCUAACACAGUGCCUUUAUAAGGAAUCAUUUCAAAGGGACGUAAAAAACAAUCUUUUUAAUGCUAAUUUAAAUCAUUUUUUUAAAGAUAAAGGAUUAUAUAUUGAUAUCCACAAAAAACCCAAGGACAACAACCUUAGGGAGCGAGGAUAACCUCAAUAAUAACGAGGCACCUCUACGAACAAAAGAAAACACCCAUAAGCCGAAAAACCCCUAACCAGGAUCUAGGAACAAAGGCAAACAUCGGGCUAACAAACAAACCAGUCGCCAAGGGAACGAGCCAAAAAGAAAACCCUAAGAUUACACAAAACCAGCCUGAGAAGUACAUACAAAAAUCAAGUCUUGAAAUGUUCCUCGUAUACCUUUUCCAAACCUCGAAUAGCCUUUACGUCGCUUCCCUCAAACUCUAGCCCCAAGGCUUUGCCAAGAAGUCACGCCUUUUUCGAACGCGUGAAGUAAGGUCCACCGCUAGCAGGAUUAGAGGCCGGCAACGUCAAGGGCGAAGAGGCUCAAGCUACCUCAAAGUCAUCUCGCACCACCUCACAGGUUGGGGGUCGAGCAAUGGUUCUCAAGCAAGAAGGGGAGCCUUUUUAGGACGCCCGCGCCGACGAGGUUGAUGAACUGGCUCUGCAACGGAAAAUCCAUCCUCAAGCACAGAACUAGCGCCUUCCACCCCCCCCCCCAACAGAAGGAUCCAAAGCUGAGGGAAGAGGAGACACUGGCAGAGCCAGCGCACCAACCUGAAGCGAAGAAGCUUCAUCUGCAGCUGCACCAUAACAUGAGUAACCAAUUCAAAAGAUUUGGUGUGCUCCAAAAGCCCAUACCCACACCUCAAAACCACAGGAAACAGAUUCAAGAGAGGGAUUGUCCUCGGAACAAACGAACUCCUUAUGCCCCAAGUCACCGACAGAAGAGAGGGAGCAUCAAAUAAGUUAAAGAGAAGUUCAGAAGAGAGGUUUCAGUUCCAACUCCUAGCCGAGGGACCGUGGAGAAGGAAAGACAGACCAUUCUCCCAAAACCCACGCAAAACUAAAAAAGUUGCAACAGAGCUAACACCACCCUGCACUUCCUCCGCACUCAUCGCCUCACCAGCAGUUAAACCAUCUCUGGACCAGCGCUCCUUCCGAGCCAAACCCAGGACCAGACAACCAUUGACGUCGCCAUCUCUCCCUUCUACUUCUCUUGCAUCACCAGCCAAACCGAAACCCAAACCUGAAAUCUCUGGAAAGAGGAACUUAUCCGGAACCCUCGAAACCUCUUCAGACGAACACCCAACACCAUCGUGCAUCCUUAUCUCAUCCUCAUAAAAAGAAGACAAGUUGUUAUCCUUCCUACGCCCCAAGACAACAUCUCGCCAGGAAAGACGAGAUGGGUGAGAGUUACCAACCUUCCAUUGUUGAACAGAAGCAGAGAGUCGCUUCCCCUGAUCAGAAACGGUUUGAGACCCCAAACAAAUAUAGCACGAAAUUGAACCGCCUACCCGAGGGAACCUGACCAUGGAAACCGAUAGAGAAACAUUCCCCAGCUUAAACCCAUCAAGACCCUAACCUGUUCUCGAAACCCAUAUCGUACGAAGCCAAAUCGAAAAAUUCUUCCAACCUUUCUCUGUCAAUGGACAAAGAGGUUGAUAACCUCGCCAAACUUCGAGCAUAUAUCGCGGAGAUGAAGAUAACCGAUCUUCUCUUCGAUUCCAUCGAUGAACACCGAAAAACACUUCCUCCUUCCACCGUGGCUUCCACCCGAUCCACCAUCUGCUUCAUCGUCCAGCUCUCCGCCUUCCGCCUCGCCAUCCAUGUUGCCUUCGUCGCGAGCAGCCGUCGAACCCUUCCGAUUCACCGCCGCCGUCCUUGAAUCGCCUGACCCAGAAACCCUAGCAGAGGGGUUCAAACACACAUUGCUCCGUGAUAGCGAGCUAAUUUUCGUUAAGGGUGUAAGAUGGUUCUGAAUAUACUAAACAAUCCCCUGUGUUGAUGAGUAUGGGUGUUAUCAUAGUGCUACUAAUAUUCUGGAAAAAAUUGUCUCCUGCAAACUUGAAUCUGAUACAUAUGUUGUUGUUUCUAAAUGUUGUGUAAUUCUCUCAAUCAACUCUUGGUUUUCCUAAUUCAUUGUGUUCAUCUAUGUAUUCAUUGUGUUCUGACUAGGUAGAUAUGAAGGAGGAAACAUCAUCAUAUAUGCAUAUAAAUAACAUCACAAGGUGAGAACUAGGUAAAGAUGUCGAAACAAAAAUUGAAGAAACUUGUUUUGGGUUCUUGGUCAAGCUCCAAGAGAUGUUGUGGAACGUGAAAGAGGGUUGUUGUUAUCUCUGAAUUUUGCUAGAGGACAUCGUCUACAUAAUCGGACUUCCCAUCGAUGAGAUGCCGGCGGCGGGAAUAAUACCGGAAGAUACUGCACAAUUAUUGGUAGAACAUUUAGCUAUGGAAAGAAAUGAUGCAUAAAAUUUGCUCGAAGUUACAUCAAAACCGAAGUUGAAAGGUGUAGUUGAUCUAGAAAAGCUGCGAGCACACUUUCAGAGGCCCGAUGUUAGUUCUAAAGUGGGUUCGGAGUUCCUUGCAAAGGUUUUUAUAGUUUACAAUCUAGAAAUUACUUUGUUUCCUGCCCGGUCAAGGACCGAUCAGCCACAUUAUCUGCCUCUUUUGGAUUUUGAAAUUCGUAUUCACCUAGGACAGAUGUGAUACACAAUGUUGCAACAAUGUGUAGCACAACAAAACACAAUCAGAGUAUCAAAAAUAAACAAACAGUUAAAACACAAGGAGUUGUUAACCCAGUUCGGUGAACAUCACCUACGUCUGGAGGAUACCAAUCCAGGAGUCAAUUCACUAUCAAAUAAUAGUUCUCAGGUCACAUAAAAGUCCCUCCUAUACCUAAGUACUCCCCCUUAGUAUAGAGCCUCUUAUAUGUUCACCACUAUUACACAAGUGAAUCAAGCUUAGCCCUUCUCCUCUAAGCUAUGAGAAAACUUUCUCUAACUCCUAACAAUCACUGCCACAGUGAUCAAGACAUGUUUAUCAAAAACAGUUUGAUGAGAUUACAACUCAACUAAACAAAUUCAACUCAGUACUUUGAUGAACUAAAGCACUAAGUUGGUACAACACUCACAAGAGGACUCACAAACAAAAACCCUAAGAUCAAUAUCUGAAUCUCUGAAUUCGUGUGCAGCUAGGGUUUACAAGUUCCUUUAUAUAGACGUUCACUUGGGGCUUGGAUCUUCAAUGGGCUGAACGUCCUAGAGUCCACUAAACACACUUCUGGAUAGAAUCUUCAAGGAAUCAAAUCUUACCAGAAUAAAAUAACAGAACCAAGUAAAACAGAAUUUGAGAUAGACUUGGUCCACACGAUAUUAAUCUUGUUACUUCAGCCAAGAUUAAAACAAACACGCCUUCAGAAGAUAAAACGCACAGCAUAGGAUAAAAACUUCUGAAUCACCAUACAGUUAGCAACCUCACAACAAGCUUGACUUUAACGACUGAACAAGCAACAUAUGUAAUUCCACCAUGUUGCUCCAGAUGUUGGAACAUAUGGUUGCCCAUCAUGUUUUGAGCAAAAUGCAGCCAAUCAAAAGAACUACAGAUUUUAAGGCGAUCAACAACUAUGCUUGGGGAGCAGUGGUGUUGACACAUAAUGAUAUGGUUGAAAUAAUUAAAAAAGAAGAAAACUCAAGUCUUUGUUGUUUUAGUUUGGCUUUAACGGUAAGUUUUAAGAUUUUUACAUUGUCAUUUAAGUUUUAAAAUCUUUUCAUGGGUUUUAAUCUCUUACAAUUUUUUUUAACUAUUUCAACCAUAUAAGAAAUUAAACGACAAUGUAAAGAUCUUAAAACUUACCGUUAAAGCCAAACUAAAACAACAAAGACUUGAGUUUUCUUCUUUUUUAACUAUUUCGACCCUAUCAUUCUUGAUAUGUGCCAACAUCGCUGCUCCCUAAGCAUAGUUGUUGAUCGCCUUAAAAUCCAAAAGAGACAGAUAAUGUGGUUGACCGGGUGGGAAACAAAGUAAUUCCUAGAUUGUAAAAUAUAAAAGCCUUUGCAAGGACCUCCGAACCCACUUUAGAACUAACAUCGAGCCUUCGAAAGUGUGGUCGCAAUUUUUCUAGAUCAACUGCACCUUUCGACUUUGGUUUAGAUGUAACUUCGAGCAAAUUUUCUGCAUCAUUUCUUUCCAUAGCUAAAUGUUCUACCAGGAAUUGGGCAGUAUCUUCCAGUAUUAUUCUCGUCACCGGCAUCCCAUCGAUGGGAAGUCUGGUUAUGUAGAGGUUGUUCUGUUUCCCGAAAUCUAAAUCAAACUCAUUCGCACCGUUUCCAAUUCGAAAACAGUCAGCUUCAGCAUUAUAGUGUUUCAAGAGAGCACUUACAAAAUUCAGGGGUAACAACAACCCCUUUCACGUUCUGCAACAUCUCUUGGAGCUUGACCAAGAACUCAAAACAAGUUUCUUCAAUUUUUGUUGCAACAUAUCUACCUAGUUCUCACCUCGUGAUGUUAUUUAUAUGCAUAUCUGAUGAUGUUGCUUCCUUCAUCUCUACCUAGUCAGAACACAAUAUAUACAGAGAUGAACACAAUGAAUCAGGAAAACCAAGAGCUGAUUGAAAGAAUUAACCAACAUUUAGAAACAACAACAUAUGUAUUAGAUUCAAGUUGCAGAAGACAAUUUUUUCGAGAAUAUUAAUAGCACUAUCAUAGCACCCCUACUCAUCAACAAGGGAGAUUGUUUAGUAUAUUCAGAACCAUCUUACACCCUUAACUAUUUAAAUUAGCAUUAAAAGGAUUGCUUUCUACGUCCCUAUAAAGUGCUUCCUUAUAAAGGCAGUGUGUUAGAGCAUUAGUGGUUACAUAAGUCCAAAAUUAGGAAAGUUAAGAGGUAGUAGCCCUAUAUACAUAGAAACAAAACAAUAUAGAAAAUGUUAAUGCAAUGUUUCUUUAAAAUCUUAAAUGUUAGAAAAAUCCCAAAAAGAAUCAAUGAAUUAAAUAAUGCAAUCUCGUGGUAAUUGUGAGAUGGCUUACACAUUUAAACAAGGUUAAAAAGUAAAAAUCAAUCUUGAUUUAUUAAUAAUCACUGAUGAUUUAAUUAAUUAAUUAAUGAACUAAUACCUUAAUCUGCAAUGCCUGAAUUGCAAAUCCUUCUUGAUUAAUAUGCUCACUUGUGUAUAGAGCUGGAAGGGCAGAAGCAACAAAGGAUCAUAUAUAGAGUAAGUGCACAUACAACAGAAUCUGGAAAUAAUAAUCUUAUACAGAAACUAGUUUGAUCCACUACAUGAUCCUUCCUACAAUGAUGAGGAAGAGGCAAGUUGCUAUUAUACAGUCUAAAUCAAAAGCAUGUUACAACUUACAAGGUACAACAUUUGGCUGCCAAAAGCAUCAAAAGCAUAUAGGACCCCAAAAGGAGAAGCUACUCUCAAUAGCCAGAAGGUUGAAGGUUGCAAAACGAGGAAGCUAAAAGGGAAAAGAGAAAAUGUAACAAAAAAAGGGGGUGGGGAAUAAUUAACAUUUAAAAUUUGCCAUUUCUGAAAUUUCUUGGGAAUAUAAGAAAAGAGAAAUGAGGCUUGUGGUUGAAUAUAGUAAGAAGAAAAGAAGAGGGUUAUCUAUAUCUUCUUCUCAAAGACACAACACAAAAUCAUGACAGAACAUGAAAUGUGAUUAUGCAAAUCACGAAGCUAUGGUUUUGGCCUUUUGGGCAAUGAAAACCGCUUGAGUUGUUUCUUCAUGAAUAAUCCAUGGAACUCAUAAAUAAUAAACAAGAGAAAAAAGUACAAUGAGGCAUGAUUUUAACUUCUUUACUUACCUUGUUUGUGAAGAAAUAAUCUUAAUAUCAAAUAAUUGAACUUCCUAGUUGCUACAUUGGAAAUUUCUAUAAGGUUUGGUAAGAUACUAUGUUCGAAAUUUGGAAGAAAAUUUACCAUUUCACAUAUUCAUAUUAUAUUACCCACUAAGUAUCUUUAAGUAAAAAAAAAAAAAAAUAGAGCAAAGACAUAUACCUCUAUAAAUCACUAAAAAUAAAAUCUUCAUACAGGAGGUAGCACCCAACAACUUCUAGUAAGGUAAAAUUCAAACAAAUACAACAACAUUAACAAAAAAUACAAUCAUAUUAGCCUA
Long non-coding RNA from Lotus japonicus, 7102 nucleotides. RefSeq lists it as uncharacterized. Lineage: Eukaryota; Viridiplantae; Streptophyta; Magnoliopsida; Fabales; Fabaceae. The transcript is spliced from 3 exons. The record is from RefSeq and is a predicted model, not a curated record.